Molecule: long non-coding RNA, 1038 nt
Filed under: Cairina moschata (Muscovy duck)
Lineage: Eukaryota; Metazoa; Chordata; Aves; Anseriformes; Anatidae
Description: domestica (muscovy Duck (domestic type)) lncRNA (ENSCMMG00000012543.1)
Source: RNAcentral
UUUGGAGAGUUUUCUCAUUGUUCGUCUGCGGGAGGGAAAAAAAAAAAAAAAAAAAAAAAAAAAAAAAUGGCCAGAAAGGGGUUCGUUUUGAUUGUGUUUAAUACGGCAUGAAGCUCGGAGCGGUAAGCUGUGCCUCGGUGUCAUGACCUCUAUAUUGAAAACUUCACCUUCAACACAAGUUCACUUCGGAGACAGGACGAGUUAGAUUGCGCUUGGUGGGAACAAGUGCAAAUUUAAAAACAGAGUCAAUCAUAACGGGGGUGGGGGCUGGGAAAGGGCAAUUUAACCGUUUCUGGAGCCAGGAGUUAAGGUUUGCAUUGUGUACGCCGAGGCGCUGAUACUAACGCUGAAACCCAGCCCCGCAUCGCUCAGCAAGCAGAGCUGGGAAACAGGCUCCUGGAUCUCCGGAGAUGCUUUGUGAAAGCCUAGCCUGCGUGGGGGAAGGUUAGGAGGAAAAGAGGAAUUUACAGAGUAUUAGCAGAAAUUAGCCAAUGCCGACACAAGCUCAAUUAGUUUUUUUUUUUUUUUUUUUUUUUUUUUUUGGGUCUCUGUUGGCUGUUCUCGAACGUGAGUAAAUGCCGUGCAGGGAGAGGGAGAGCCCCAGCACACUGCCAUCUCAGAGCCGCAGCCAGGAGAUGGACUGACAGAUUGCAAAUUAAAAGAGUCCCAAUGUCAGAACGACCGCAGCCCCCGGCGCGCAGAGCCCGGUAGCGCUAAGCCCGGCACGGAGCGAGCGGGGCUGCGGCGGGGCCGGUCCUGCGCCGGAGCUGGGCUAGGCAGGGACAAUAAAGCCAGGCACGGGCAGAGAAAAUCGCAAGGCAUUGUACAGACAGGCAGCAAUGCAGACCUGCUGGAGGAGCUCAGCAGGAGGAGAGCCCGCGCUGCACCAGCAAUGUGGUCUGAACAGAGGUCUGUGUUGGUCCAGCUCAUUGGAAACUUUCAUGCUUAAAUCAGGAGGACGCUAUAGUUGGAGCUAAUCUGAGAGAUAAGAAUUUGCCAAGGGCAUCAACAGCAGUUUUCCCAGGCUUCAGAACAAGG